GAGCCGUUAGCUCAGACGGUAGAGCACCUGACUUUUAAUCAGGGGGUCCCGGGUUCGAGUCCCGGACGGCUCACCA
This 76-nucleotide transfer RNA is filed under the name Candidatus Rokuibacteriota bacterium. RNAcentral describes it as "Candidatus Rokubacteria bacterium tRNA-Lys". It matches the Rfam family "tRNA". Rfam says of the family: Transfer RNA (tRNA) molecules are approximately 80 nucleotides in length. Their secondary structure includes four short double-helical elements and three loops (D, anti-codon, and T loops). Further hydrogen bonds mediate the characteristic L-shaped molecular structure. tRNAs have two regions of fundamental functional importance: the anti-codon, which is responsible for specific mRNA codon recognition, and the 3' end, to which the tRNAs corresponding amino acid is attached (by aminoacyl-tRNA synthetases). tRNAs cope with the degeneracy of the genetic code in two manners: having more than one tRNA (with a specific anti-codon) for a particular amino acid; and 'wobble' base-pairing, i.e. permitting non-standard base-pairing at the 3rd anti-codon position. Lineage: Bacteria; Candidatus Rokuibacteriota. The record is from RNAcentral.